GUGGCAGCUGGGAUGUUUUGUGAGGUCUAAACUGCCUACGAAAACGGAGGAUGUCAGGGAGAAUGGCUGAUACAACACAGCUUCAGCUUUUGAAAUAUUGGAUUUGGGACAGUGGUUGCAAACUUCCGGGGCAGGAUCUCUGUCACGCAAUCCUUGUUUUGGAUCAAGAUAUUCGGAUCAAGACCCCUUGCAGUGGACAAGAAAGAGGACAGGGGACUAGAAGGGAUGAUUUUACUUCUCGUUGACACUCAUCACAUAAAUGCAUCCAACGCCAGUGUGUCAAUAGAGAAGUUGCGUAUCAACAGGAAGCAAGGGGAAGGAGCAACAUUGCCUCAUUCCUUUUUCCAGGUGAAAUAUGGCUGAAAAUAUGUUAUUUUUCACUUUACGGGCAAGAUGGAAUUGCACAGGACUUCAAUACUUAAAGGCCACUAAGUUUGAUAAUAGAGUAAGGCCAUUCUUCUGUCUGUCAGGGCUCAGACCGAUGAUUGAAACACUUAAUAAUUGACUUGGUGAUGCAUGCAAAAUACUUAUCCUUUGCUGUAAGCCGGAAAUCUAUUUUUCUUGAAAUCCACUUGCAAUUAAUUGAAAGAAUUGCAUCAUUUAGGCAAGUUACUGUAAUGUUGAUGAUUACUCUGUUACAGUUAAUUGAGAAACAGAAAACAAAUCUCCCCAGUUAUAACCAUUCUUGUGUUUCAUCAGAACUGAUAUAAUAACAGUUCUCAUAUCAUGGGCUAUAUCUCUCUUUUGGAAAGCUCCCAGCAAGCCUUUCAGUAGGACGGGGUAUAAUCAUCCGCAAAUAUAUAGAAAUCUUCCUGAAUGACUGGUCAAUGCUAAUGUUUUAUCAGGGUACAAUUUCUGUACUCUUGCACAGUGAUAGAGGUUAUCCCAUGGACAAUAACUUGUCUGAGAGUCGAAAAGAUCCUCGAGAAAAGUGAAUUUUUUUAAAAUGCUGAUGUAACAUGGAUAUUCUUUUC
Molecule: long non-coding RNA, 974 nt
Organism: Struthio camelus australis
Lineage: Eukaryota; Metazoa; Chordata; Aves; Struthioniformes; Struthionidae
Source: RefSeq, a predicted model, not a curated record